This 337-nucleotide unclassified non-coding RNA is filed under the name soil metagenome. RNAcentral's name for it is "partial contains 5.8S ribosomal RNA, internal transcribed spacer 2, and large subunit ribosomal RNA". The stretch from base 1 to 120 matches the Rfam family "5.8S ribosomal RNA", at positions 35 to 154 of the family's 154-position model. The record is from RNAcentral.
GAUGAAGAACGUAGCGAAAUGCGAUACGUAAUGUGAAUUGCAGAAUUCAGUGAAUCAUCGAGUCUUUGAACGCACAUUGCGCCCCUUGGUAUUCCAUGGGGCAUGCCUGUUCGAGCGUCAUUUGUACCUUCAAGCUCUGCUUGGUGUUGGGUGUUUGUCUCGCCUCUGCGUGUAGACUCGCCUCAAAACAAUUGGCAGCCGGCGUAUUGAUUUCGGAGCGCAGUACAUCUCGCGCUUUGCACUCAUAACGACGACGUCCAAAAGUACAUUUUUACACUCUUGACCUCGGAUCAGGUAGGGAUACCCGCUGAACUUAAGCAUAUCAAUAAGCGGAGGA